UACGUAGGGUGCAAGCGUUGUCCGGAAUUAUUGGGCGUAAAGAGCUCGUAGGCGGUUUGUCGCGUCGGCUGUGAAAACCUGGGGCUCAACCCCGGGCCUGCAGCCGAUACGGGCAAACUAGAAUUCGGUAGGGGAGACUGGAAUUCCUGGUGUAGCGGUGAAAUGCGCAGAUAUCAGGAGGAACACCGGUGGCGAAGGCGGGUCUCUGGGCCGAUAUUGACGCUGAAGCGCGACAGCGUGGGGAGCAAACAGG
This 253-nucleotide ribosomal RNA is filed under the name uncultured bacterium. Its description in RNAcentral is "partial 16S ribosomal RNA". It matches the Rfam family "Bacterial small subunit ribosomal RNA", at positions 524 to 776 of the family's 1533-position model. The record is from RNAcentral.